GUGAAGCCCAGCUUGCUGGGUGGAUCAGUGGCGAACGGGUGAGUAACACGUGAGCAACCUGCCCCUGACUCUGGGAUAAGCGCUGGAAACGGCGUCUAAUACUGGAUAUGAGACGUGAUCGCAUGUUCGUGUUUGGAAAGAUUUUUCGGUCUGGGAUGGGCUCGCGGCCUAUCAGCUUGUUGGUGAGGUAAUGGCUCACCAAGGCGUCGACGGGUAGCCGGCCUGAGAGGGUGACCGGCCACACUGGGACUGAGACACGGCCCAGACUCCUACGGGAGGCAGCAGUGGGGAAUAUUGCACAAUGGGCGCAAGCCUGAUGCAGCAACGCCGCGUGAGGGAUGACGGCCUUCGGGUUGUAAACCUCUUUUAGCAGGGAAGAAGCGAAAGUGACGGUACCUGCAGAAAAAGCGCCGGCUAACUACGUGCCAGCAGCCGCGGUAAUACGUAGGGCGCAAGCGUUAUCCGGAAUUAUUGGGCGUAAAGAGCUCGUAGGCGGUUUGUCGCGUCUGCUGUGAAAUCCCGAGGCUCAACCUCGGGCCUGCAGUGGGUACGGGCAGACUAGAGUGCGGUAGGGGAGAUUGGAAUUCCUGGUGUAGCGGUGGAAUGCGCAGAUAUCAGGAGGAACACCGAUGGCGAAGGCAGAUCUCUGGGCCGUAACUGACGCUGAGGAGCGAAAGGGUGGGGAGCAAACAGGCUUAGAUACCCUGGUAGUCCACCCCGUAAACGUUGGGAACUAGUUGUGGGGUCCAUUCCACGGAUUCCGUGACGCAGCUAACGCAUUAAGUUCCCCGCCUGGGGAGUACGGCCGCAAGGCUAAAACUCAAAGGAAUUGACGGGGACCCGCACAAGCGGCGGAGCAUGCGGAUUAAUUCGAUGCAACGCGAAGAACCUUACCAAGGCUUGACAUAUACGAGAACGGGCCAGAAAUGGUCAACUCUUUGGACACUCGUAAACAGGUGGUGCAUGGUUGUCGUCAGCUCGUGUCGUGAGAUGUUGGGUUAAGUCCCGCAACGAGCGCAACCCUCGUUCUAUGUUGCCAGCACGUAAUGGUGGGAACUCAUGGGAUACUGCCGGGGUCAACUCGGAGGAAGGUGGGGAUGACGUCAAAUCAUCAUGCCCCUUAUGUCUUGGGCUUCACGCAUGCUACAAUGGCCGGUACAAAGGGCUGCAAUACCGUAAGGUGGAGCGAAUCCCAAAAAGCCGGUCCCAGUUCGGAUUGAGGUCUGCAACUCGACCUCAUGAAGUCGGAGUCGCUAGUAAUCGCAGAUCAGCAACGCUGCGGUGAAUACGUUCCCGGGUCUUGUACACACCGCCCGUCAAGUCAUGAAAGUCGGUAACACCUGAAGCCGGUGGCCCAACCCUUGUGGA
Molecule: ribosomal RNA, 1368 nt
Filed under: Microbacterium sp. MH32
Lineage: Bacteria; Bacillati; Actinomycetota; Actinomycetes; Micrococcales; Microbacteriaceae
Description: bacterial SSU rRNA
Rfam family: Bacterial small subunit ribosomal RNA
Source: RNAcentral